This is a long non-coding RNA of Cebus imitator (Panamanian white-faced capuchin), 1713 nucleotides long. RefSeq lists it as uncharacterized. The transcript is spliced from 3 exons. NCBI's taxonomy places the organism in Eukaryota, Metazoa, Chordata, Mammalia, Primates, Cebidae. The record is from RefSeq and is a predicted model, not a curated record.
CGUUUUUCUAUUUUUGCUGCCGCGACAAUCUCAUCAGAUGAAAAAGUUAAUAAACAGAAUGGCGACUCCGAUGUUGAGUAAGAUCACCAUGACCACCAGGAUAGGAGCUGAGCCCUGGAAGAGAGCGAGGGGAAUAGAGUGGCCGUGGAAUUCAGAGGUCUCCCACAGGCCCGUAAGUAUACCUUUCUCAACACAGCUCCCCUCCUGUCACCUGGCUCUGGUCGGCUGUGUCCAAUUGCAAGCUGCCUCUGACUUGGACCACGGUCCCCGAGUGCUUUUGCUCAUGAGUCCUCAGCCUCUGCAAGAGCCCCAAGUGCCAGGCUCCCCCUUCAGCAGCAUAGCCUGGGCAUUGAGACUGAGCUGCCACCUGCCGCGUCCUUGCCAGGGCCAGCAGUGGGGUCCAAAACAGCCCCAGAGUAGAAGCAAAGCCAGCUGUCUGUCGGUGGAUGAACGCACAGGUAGCGCAGCACGGUCCAGGCAACAGCAGACGCCACUCAGCCAGAGGAAGGGGGCAGGAGUGACGCGUGCUGCGAGAAGCCAGGCACCAGGACCCCCCAGGCCGAAAGCAGAGCAGGGGCUGCCAGGAGCAGAGGAGGGGACAGGAUGACUGCGCUCUGAGGUUUCAGGGGAUGUAACUGAUCUAGGUAGUUAGCAGAAUACACUAAAACCACUGACUUGUACAUACUCUGGACAGGUGAGCUGAAGAGUCCAUGAAUUCUCUCUCAGUAAAGCUACCCAAGAACAGCAGAUACCCACAGUGAAGUCAGCUCUCCAUGGCCAGACCUUCAGAGCAGUGCCUGACACUGGCUUCAGGGGAGGUAUGGGGACCAGGGGCUACUUAGCAGGGCCCCAGUGGGAGAAAUCCCUCCUGGGAAGUCAGCCUGUGGUUCCCACACCUAGCUUGGAUGCCACAUCCCGUGGGCAAGCAGCAGCCUCCUGCUCUACCAUUUGGCCAAGGGACGCUUUUGCCUCCUGGGUCAGCUUCAUCCUGUGCAUCGGCUGUGCCCCUGAUGACGCAACAUCGCAGCACCCAGGCUGGUCUCCCCGAGUAGGUGGCCUGAAACAGCCACACCCUUGCCCCUUCCCAGCCCCAGGGCGGACACCCUGCCUUGAGUAAGCUGCUGCCCCUCUUCCUGGUCCAGUCCUGCCCAUACCUGGGUGCCCACCCCACUCCUGGGUUCCCACCUCUCCUCCCCGUGUCUCCAGGAGCUGCCCACCACAUGCCCUGGGCUGUACUGCUCAUCGUGGCCCUGUCUGUGGCCUGGCCAGGCUUUGGCCACCCCAUGCAUUGGCAUGGUUUCCUCAGGAGGUCUGUGCCAGCACACACCACUCAGCAGAGUGGUGGUGAUGAUGGGUGUGAGUGUUUGUCUCAGCCCGGCCCCGCCUGGCGGUUUUGCAUUUGGACUUGAGGACAAGCUGCCAGUGAGCAUCUCAUCCCCAUUACGGUGAAGGCAACACGUCUGGACGUCACCCUCAGGCCUCACCCACCCUCCCUGCUGGGCUCCACACUGCACCUGGGAGGGACUCCCCCAGCUGCCGGCCCGCCCCUCUAUUCUACAUCGUGGCCAUCAUCACCCAGGCCCACAUGCCUCCUCACACUGGGGUCUGGACCCUGCAUGUCCUGGGGACACCGGCUUUAGAAACUUUUUUGAGACAGUCUUCUGUUGCCCAGGCUGGAGUGCAAUGGCACCAUCUCGGCUCGCUGCAACCUCC